Non-coding RNA from Hordeum vulgare subsp. vulgare (domesticated barley), 124 nucleotides. The record is from Rfam. NCBI's taxonomy places the organism in Eukaryota, Viridiplantae, Streptophyta, Magnoliopsida, Poales, Poaceae.
AUGGUACUCCCUCCGUCCGAAAAUACUUGUCCUAAAAAUGCAUAUAAUGAAUGUAUCUAUAAUUAAAAUAAGUCUAGAUACAUUCAUCUCUAGGACAAGUAUUUCCGGACGGAUGUAGUACUAG